AAAAACAUCGCCUCUUGCAAAAUAAAUGAAUAAGAGGUCCCGCCUGCCCUGUGACUAUAUGUUCAACGGCCGCGGUAUUUUGACCGUGCGAAGGUAGCGCAAUCACUUGUCUUUUAAAUGAAGACCUGUAUGAAUGGCAUCACGAGGGCUUAGCUGUCUCCCCCUCCCAGUCAAUGAAAUUGAUUUUCCCGUGCAGAAGCGGGAAUAAGAACAUAAGACGAGAAGACCCUAUGGAGCUUAAGACGCCAGGACAGCUCAUGUUAAACACCCCAGAACAAAGGGAAUAAACUUAGUGAAACCCUGCCCUAGUGUCUUUGGUUGGGGCGACCACGGGGAAAAACUUAACCCCCAUGCGGAAUAGGAAUACUAUUUUCCUAGACUCAAGAGCUCCCGCUCUAAUAGACAGAAUUUCUGACCAAAAGGAUCCGGCAAUGCCGAUCAACGGACCGAGUUACCCUAGGGAUAACAGCGCAAUCCUCUUUAAGAGUCCCUAUCGACAAGAGGGUUUACGACCUCGAUGUUGGAUCAGGACAUCCUAAUGGUGCAGCCGCUAUUAAGGGUUCGUGUCAACGAUAAGUC
Molecule: ribosomal RNA, 579 nt
Filed under: Acanthopagrus latus (yellowfin seabream)
Lineage: Eukaryota; Metazoa; Chordata; Actinopteri; Spariformes; Sparidae
Description: partial 16S ribosomal RNA
Rfam family: Bacterial large subunit ribosomal RNA
Source: RNAcentral